GGCAGCGCGGGGCAACCUGGCGGCGAGUGGCGAACGGGUGAGUAAUAUAUCGGAACGUACCCUGGAGUGGGGGAUAACGUAGCGAAAGUUACGCUAAUACCGCAUACGAUCUAAGGAUGAAAGUGGGGGAUCGCAGGACCUCAUGCUCCUGGAGCGGCCGAUAUCUGAUUAGCUAGUUGGCGGGGUAAAAGCCCACCAAGGCAACGAUCAGUAGCUGGUCUGAGAGGACGACCAGCCACACUGGAACUGAGACACGGUCCAGACUCCUACGGGAGGCAGCAGUGGGGAAUUUUGGACAAUGGGCGCAAGCCUGACCCAGCAAUGCCGCGUGAGUGAAGAAGGCCUUCGGGUUGUAAAGCUCUUUUGUCAGGGAAGAAACGGUGGGGGCUAAUAUCCUCCGCUAAUGACGGUACCUGAAGAAUAAGCACCGGCUAACUACGUGCCAGCAGCCGCGGUAAUACGUAGGGUGCAAGCGUUAAUCGGAAUUACUGGGCGUAAAGCGUGCGCAGGCGGUUUUGUAAGUCUGUCGUGAAAUCCCCGGGCUCAACCUGGGAAUUGCGAUGGAGACUGCAAGGCUAGAGUUUGGCAGAGGGGGGUAGAAUUCCACGUGUAGCAGUGAAAUGCGUAGAUAUGUGGAGGAACACCGAUGGCGAAGGCAGCCCCCUGGGUCAAAACUGACGCUCAUGCACGAAAGCGUGGGGAGCAAACAGGAUUAGAUACCCUGGUAGUCCACGCCCUAAACGAUGUCUACUAGUUGUCGGGUCUUAAUUGACUUGGUAACGCAGCUAACGCGUGAAGUAGACCGCCUGGGGAG
RNAcentral lists this ribosomal RNA (814 nucleotides) under uncultured bacterium. RNAcentral's name for it is "bacterial SSU rRNA". It matches the Rfam family "Bacterial small subunit ribosomal RNA", at positions 68 to 880 of the family's 1533-position model. The record is from RNAcentral.